This 682-nucleotide ribosomal RNA is filed under the name Serratia sp. FA1. RNAcentral describes it as "bacterial SSU rRNA". It matches the Rfam family "Bacterial small subunit ribosomal RNA", at positions 77 to 756 of the family's 1533-position model. The record is from RNAcentral. Lineage: Bacteria; Pseudomonadati; Pseudomonadota; Gammaproteobacteria; Enterobacterales; Yersiniaceae.
UGCUCCCUGGGUGACGAGCGGCGGACGGGUGAGUAAUGUCUGGGAAACUGCCUGAUGGAGGGGGAUAACUACUGGAAACGGUAGCUAAUACCGCAUAACGUCGCAAGACCAAAGAGGGGGACCUUCGGGCCUCUUGCCAUCAGAUGUGCCCAGAUGGGAUUAGCUAGUAGGUGGGGUAAUGGCUCACCUAGGCGACGAUCCCUAGCUGGUCUGAGAGGAUGACCAGCCACACUGGAACUGAGACACGGUCCAGACUCCUACGGGAGGCAGCAGUGGGGAAUAUUGCACAAUGGGCGCAAGCCUGAUGCAGCCAUGCCGCGUGUGUGAAGAAGGCCUUCGGGUUGUAAAGCACUUUCAGCGAGGAGGAAGGUGGUGAACUUAAUACGUUCAUCAAUUGACGUUACUCGCAGAAGAAGCACCGGCUAACUCCGUGCCAGCAGCCGCGGUAAUACGGAGGGUGCAAGCGUUAAUCGGAAUUACUGGGCGUAAAGCGCACGCAGGCGGUUUGUUAAGUCAGAUGUGAAAUCCCCGGGCUCAACCUGGGAACUGCAUUUGAAACUGGCAAGCUAGAGUCUCGUAGAGGGGGGUAGAAUUCCAGGUGUAGCGGUGAAAUGCGUAGAGAUCUGGAGGAAUACCGGUGGCGAAGGCGGCCCCCUGGACGAAGACUGACGCUCAGGUGCGA